Molecule: non-coding RNA, 166 nt
Filed under: Eisenbergiella porci
Lineage: Bacteria; Bacillati; Bacillota; Clostridia; Lachnospirales; Lachnospiraceae
Source: RNAcentral
GCGGUUUUAGCUGCAGUUCAGGAUAAUAGGGAACCGGGUGGGAAUCCCGGACGAUCCCGUCGCUGUAUACGCGGAGCAUUUUUUUCAGCCGGAAGGCGGUCACUGUGGAAAUGGGAAGACGAGAAAAUGUGAGGAUGCGCAAGUCAGAAGACCUGCCUUUUUAUUU